AAGAUAGAGGUGCGGUCAAAAUUAGUAGUAUUUCUGAGAUGUGUUUGUCAUAGCGAUCCCAAAGCUUGUUCGGAAAUGUGAAAGGUGCGACUGCCGAAGCACAGGUGUGGGAAGCCUGAAGCUGACUGUAGUUUUAACAGAACUCCGGUUGUCAUCAUUGAUUAUGAUGGAGUGCUAUCG
RNAcentral lists this non-coding RNA (180 nucleotides) under uncultured Ruminococcus sp. RNAcentral's name for it is "Lysine riboswitch". It matches the Rfam family "Lysine riboswitch aptamer". Rfam says of the family: Riboswitches are metabolite binding domains within certain messenger RNAs that serve as precision sensors for their corresponding targets. Allosteric rearrangement of mRNA structure is mediated by ligand binding, and this results in modulation of gene expression. This family includes riboswitches that sense lysine in a number of genes involved in lysine metabolism, including lysC. The record is from RNAcentral. Lineage: Bacteria; Bacillati; Bacillota; Clostridia; Eubacteriales; Oscillospiraceae.